This 253-nucleotide ribosomal RNA is filed under the name uncultured bacterium. RNAcentral describes it as "partial 16S ribosomal RNA". It matches the Rfam family "Bacterial small subunit ribosomal RNA", at positions 524 to 776 of the family's 1533-position model. The record is from RNAcentral.
UACGAAGGGGGCUAGCGUUGCUCGGAAUCACUGGGCGUAAAGGGUGCGUAGGCGGGUCUUUAAGUCAGGGGUGAAAUCCUGCAGCUCAACUGUAGAAGUGCCUUUGAUACUGGCGAACUCGAGGGAGGUAGGGGUGGGUGGAACUUCUGGUGGAGCGGUGAAAUGCGUUGAUAUCAGAAGGAACGCCGGUGGCGAAAGCGACCCACUGGACCUCUUCUAACGCUGAGGCGCGAAAGCCAGGGGAGCAAACGGG